Molecule: long non-coding RNA, 3835 nt
Organism: Dicentrarchus labrax (European seabass)
Lineage: Eukaryota; Metazoa; Chordata; Actinopteri; Moronidae
Exons: 4
Source: RefSeq, a predicted model, not a curated record
GUGUGGUCCUAAUUGCAGCAUCAGAAAGCUCCACCUCUCCCUCUCGUCUGGCUUGGCUGCAGUGGAGACAAACCUCAUCUGGGAGCAGGAUGCCUGUGGUGUGUGUGUGAAGCUCUGGAGUUUUUCAUCAGUUCCCGUGCCAACCCAACCCGUGCCUGGCCAAGCUGAACCAUCUUGUGGGAUUUUUGGCUUUUAAUUAUAGGAUUAUCCCAUCAUGCUCUGUGUUGUCCCAACACAUUCCAGAUGGAUACUGGUUCCCUGCUGUCUGACGCUGCAAUGAUAACAAGCUGAGGAGGUCUUCCACAGAGGGAACCCUCCGUCAAUCCGACAACCUGGCUUCAAGAAACAUCCACCCUUCUGAAAUAGUAUGUAAAACUCUAUAGCACUGGGUUACAUAGUUCUUGAUUGUCUUAAUAAAAAAAGUAUAAGCAUAAAAGAAUCAAUCAAACAAGAAAAGGUGUACAUCUAUAUGAAUCAAAGAACUGAACUGUCACCUCUGGAUGGGGGCAAAGAGAAAAAAAUAAUCAAUAACAGUUCAUUCUAAAUUGUAAUUACACUAACAGGACAGCAGAUGGUGCCUUCGCAUCCUUCAUCACCAACACAUUGCAGCACAACCACCUGGUUCUGGCAGUGCAGCUUUCCCAAGUGUAUGUGACAAUGACUGUUUCUGUGAGCAGUACCUGUGUAUUGUGCGAUGUGUAUGUUAUAUAACUGGAUGGAGGGGGAUGAGUUCAGAGUCAAGUGAGGUGUUGACUGACAGGCAGUGCCUCUCUGUUCCCCUCAACAAAAUUACCAGGACACCUGCUAUGACGUUACAAAGCCUCUCUGUGAUCCUGAUUAAUGGAAUAUCUCACCUUUUACAGUGAUGUUUGUCCCUGAAAUCCCCUGUGAAGGUAUCAGCUUAUUACUGCUAUAGAGCACCUGGCAGGUAGAAUGAAAGAGAGUAUUUUUUGAAUGGACUCUAAUAACGAUUUUUGUCUCCCUCUGUUUCUUGUUCAGUUGUUUUUUUCUUCUUAAUUCAUUCGGAAUGCACACCCAGAAUGCAUUUGGCCUUUGUAGCAGAUCAGGUCUCGUCUGUAGGGGGGCUGAGGGGCCUGUCAAUUACUUUCAUAACAGGGAGGUUUUUGUCAGCUCUUGCUCCACUGACUGUCACAUGGUACAAGAUGCCCUGUAUCAGAGAUAGAAUUACACACUUUCUCCUAAUCUGUCUUUGGAGCUGGCUUGGAGUGUCUCCAGUGUGUGUGUGUGUGUGUGUGUGUGUGUGUGUGUGUGUGUGUGUGUUACAGUGCACAGUGCACAGUGCACAUGUCACACAUUUUGUACAGCAUGUCCCUGCUUGCUGCUGGAGUUAUUAUCAUGCUUGGUGUUCCCAGCCUGUAAGUGUGAUCUGUCUUCCAGGGGUUUUUCCUCUGGUUCUGCCAGGUUCUGUCAGUGAUUUAAUGACAUCCCCGACACAAAAUGUAUAAACACAGUGAAGUGUAAUAAAAAUAGAAGCAUGUAUGAGCCCGCAUAUAGAUGGGUUUAGCCAAUGUCUGUAAAUAUACAUAGCAGCAUCACGGGUAGAGCAAGUGACAUGAGGUUUAAUUAGAGGUACAAACAAAUAGAGACACCCCCAGGGGUAUUCAAAACCACACUGUAGAGAGGCAAACAGGUGUUACAUAACAAUAUACAAAUAACAGAUCAAAUGAUAACAAAUGCAUUAAAGUGGCACAGCAUCAGGACACUGGAAAUAUCAACAUCCUCUGAGGUACACACAUAAAAUACUGGUGAUUUCCUUUGUUAAUCCAUUUAUGUGCAAAUUAGUGUGGUUUCCAAUUAGAGCAUUUUGUUCUACUUGUCAGUGUGUCAGCAGUGUGGAGUAAUUUUGUUAAUAUGACAGACUGCCCAAGGAUUUUACAAUGCCUGGCUGCUCUGACACUUCUGUGUUCAUAGAUUUGAAAGCUUACCUGACAAUUUGUCUCUCUAGUAAUCCAUACAGCAGAGGGGGAGGGUGGUUGUGUCUGUAGUGCAACACUGUAUACAUUUUCAUUAUUUACUGCUUUGACAUAUUGGUGUUUGUUAAAGUGUUUACUUUCUUCAUAUUACACAAAGCCAAAGAGCUUCACAUUUAACCAGGAAUAAAGAAAAUUGUUGCAUUUGCCCAAGAACAGAGUGGUUGCCUGAAUUAAAAAAAUUAAAAUCUGAUUUACUGGUGCCCUAAAUCAGAUUUGCUGGUGUACUAAUCCAGACAGUAUUAUUUAGCAUGGUUUCUCUGUUCUCAGUCAACCUAUAGUAAAAUACCAAAAUGGUUAUAGUCUCUUACUGUGUAACUGUAAGUAUUCCACAUGUGCUAAUAUCCUUUUUGACAAAUCACAUCAAACUUUCUUUAAGUUAACUAUUGUGUUCCUGUGUGUAGUGCAGCACAUAGCUUACAAGUCCCUGAGGUUUAUGUACCAUGGAAGCACCCUCUUGUCUGACCAGUUGUAAUUAGGUCACUGAUUGGAUUUUAAUUUUUUUGUAAACAUGUUGUUAAUUUACUUGAUUGAUAAUUUUUUCUUAAUAAACAUCUUGGUGUUUAUCUGCAGUUACUUUCCUUUCUAAAUAGACAAACAGAGGCUGAAAGAAGCAUUUUAUUUUGCCAGAGAGCUGUGAUUAUUUUUGGAGAUUAAGUGCCUUAUCUUUUAUUUGAGUCUCAGAUGACAGCUGAUCGUCUUAUUUAUGUUUACUGUGCCAGCCUUGCACUUGCUUGUUUAGUCUGUGUUUGACUAUUUUCAUGUUCUUUCCAGUUUUAUCUUGGCUUGUCCUCCCAGGUUUGCUCAUUGGGGCUGUGCAGCAAACUCCUGCUUUACAGUGAUGCAAACAAAGUUGAAUAGAAUAGAGCAGCUUAAUCAUCCAAAUGUGGAAACUUUUCAUGGGCCGACACAGAAGCAUUAUACUGGUCAGUGUAUGCCAAUAAAAUUGUUGAAAAUAUAUUUGGAAAGGAAGUCUGGCACAAAGGAUUACUUCGAUCAUGUUUAAGUUCUUGCUGCAGUGAUGUACAAGUAUACUCUGGUGCAUUGUGACAUCACUGUAGGUGUGGUUACAAGUGCAACAGAGCAUACUUUUGACCACACCAAAUAGUGAUACUAGGUUUAGUUUUAGCCUCAUAUAUAUCAUAUUUGCAAUUGUGGACUACCCAACUUCCCUACAACUGAAAGUCAGUCCGACAUUUACUCUUGUCCGGUGGCUUCUCUCAUCUUGUCUUUUUGCCUCUGUCCAUAGAAGCUAUUGAGCCUGGUUACAUUACCUUGAAUCUGUAUCUUAUUUGUUUAUAGGGAGAACAUAGGCACCUGGGUGCACCAGCCUAUUACAUCCUCCUUAGACAAAACACCAUCAAUGAGGCCUUUCUGGCUCAUAAAAAAAACUGCCCCUCACUCCCUGAUUGCCCAGGCUUUAAUUAAAAAAGGUUUCUCAGUUUAGUAGUUCAUUAUUUGACAAUUACUCAAUCACUGGUUUCAUUAAAUGCUGGAGUUCUGUGGCUUGUUGUGAGCCGGACUCUCAAACAGAGCCUAUUAAACAUUGCUCAUGAAAUAUUGCACAAUUCCUGCUUAAGUUAUGCAACAACACUGGAACAAAAUCAAAUGGGAUCGGGUGACUGAAAAAGAUUACAUUUCUUCAGAAACUACUUAGACAGUCUGCAUUUUGUCUAGCUUGUCAAUAUUUUCAUAAACCUAAACAACAACGUUUCAGACUUCAUGUAUAUGAAGAGAUGCAAUAAUGAGUUUCCACCUCCAGGCAUGUGGAGGUGUUGCUUUGCUUUAGACAGGAGUGGCUUUGUAGCAGAGUCAAACACCCAGACAAACCAUUUAAAAAACCA